CAACAGAAAAAAAUUACGGUGUCGAGAAGUAGAAAAGGACCCAAGUUCCAUUUUGGGUCGGAAGAACUAGAAAACUCAAAAGAUCGCCUCUCUUUUAGUGAGGAAACUAGCAAAGGGAGAAUGUUGCACUAUGUUACCGAAAGAGUGGAUCAAAACUACACUAAAACACAACAAAAAAAAAAAUUUAAUCAGUUGAACGAUAAGAUAAUCGAUAAAAAACUAAAGAAAGUUUAAACGGUAAGCAUAAGAAAAACCACGCACCUGGGAUGAAGAGAGAAAAAGGAGAGGACGAAGACAAUGACGUUAUGACAAAAUACAAUGCAAUGCCGGAAGAGAUAAAAAGUAGAGGUGCGCAAGGGAGUAAAAGAAGAGGAGAACCAGAGAAAAAGGAGAAGAGAUGAAGACGCGAUCAGAAAUUGAGUGGUUAGAAGGGCUGCGGUUCAUUUAAAAUGAAAUUGGGCGUCGGUUGCGCCAGAAACCAACGUCUAUAGACGUCAGUGUUUGAUCGGGAUCCAACGUCUAUUCUUCUUAAAGAAGCUGAAAAGAUUGACGUUUGAUUUCCUGUCAGGGUAAUUCACGUCGGUGUCCCUCCUAGCCGAUGUCUAAAACCCUUGAAUUUAGUGAAAAUAAUCAAUUACAGGAACGUAGACGUCGAUUACGUUCCGAACCGACGUCUAAAUUGAAGGAUUUUUGUCUUCCCGCCUUCCAGAUAGGCCUUAGACGUCGCCGUUUGACUACGUGACGUCUAAGCGCCUAGGAAUUUGGUGAACGACAUUAAUUGUAGCCUCAGUCGACGUCGCUUGUUCAGGGGAUCCGACGU
RNAcentral lists this long non-coding RNA (820 nucleotides) under Vigna radiata. Its description in RNAcentral is "long non-coding RNA (VRAD_LNC003736)". The record is from RNAcentral. Lineage: Eukaryota; Viridiplantae; Streptophyta; Magnoliopsida; Fabales; Fabaceae.